GAUCGGUUUUCACACUCCCUCUUUACCAAUUUCAUUCUUCUCCCUCCCACACCUCUUUUCCCUAAUUUCAAUCUCCCUCCAUCAUCUCCAAAACCCUAAAACGAAAAUACUUCCUCAAUCUCAGUUUCCCCCCCAAAUCUGAAACCUAAAUUUCAAUCUCACUAACCCUAAUGGCUCAAUCUCACUAACGAAAUCUUCACUCAAUCGGUUCCUCACUCAUGGCAUAAAUCGAAGCACCUUCACUGUUCAUCAUCUUCUUUCCAUCGCUGCUUCCAUCACCAAUCGCUACUUCCAUCAUUAAUCGCUACUUCCAUCGUUUGAUGCACCAAUCGAUAUCUUUCUUUUCUCUCUCAACUCCUCUAUCAUCUUUUCUAAUGGAUGGAAUCAGUUUAACUGAUAGCGACGGUUCAAGAAGACCGAACAUAUGACGACGACAAUGAUGAUGAUGAGGACGAGGACGAGGAGACGGAUGAUGAUCAUAACGAGUAAUUUAUAUUCUUUUCAAUUGCUGUUUUUUGGUUAGGGAUUUUUGGGUGUUUUAGGUGGUUACUGUCAAAGAAAAUAUUGAACUUGCAUAUAUGAAUUUUGUUUUAUGUAAUUAUUUAUCAACAUGACAUGUUUUGUAGGAAACAAAUUAUCAAAAAAUUUGGGUUAUUUUCAAA
Medicago truncatula (barrel medic) is the source of this 662-nucleotide long non-coding RNA. RefSeq lists it as uncharacterized. NCBI's taxonomy places the organism in Eukaryota, Viridiplantae, Streptophyta, Magnoliopsida, Fabales, Fabaceae. The transcript is spliced from 2 exons. The record is from RefSeq and is a predicted model, not a curated record.